Molecule: ribosomal RNA, 351 nt
Filed under: Columbicola columbae (slender pigeon louse)
Lineage: Eukaryota; Metazoa; Arthropoda; Insecta; Psocodea; Philopteridae
Description: partial 12S ribosomal RNA
Source: RNAcentral
CCCUAUUAUUAGGGUCAAAAAUUAGUUUGGGAGUAGGUUAAAUAUUGAAAACUAUCCAGAAUGGCGGUUUUUUUUAUUUUCAGAAAAAUGUGUUUUUAAAACGAAAUUACACGAAAAUCUUUCUUACCUUGGAAACCCAUCCUGUACACCGCCGUCUGAAGGGUCAAUUAAAAGAAUUAGCCCGUAAUUUCAUAACAAAAAUAAGUCAGGUUAGGUGCAGACAAUAGGUAGGGCAAAAUGCAUUUCACUAGAAAUACGAAUAAGUGGUUGAAAUACCUCGUUGAAGAAGAAUUUGAAAGUAAGAAUUUUUUUAUCAUAAAAACCUGAAAUAAUACCGAAAAAAUGUACACA